Molecule: ribosomal RNA, 317 nt
Filed under: uncultured Acholeplasma sp.
Lineage: Bacteria; Bacillati; Mycoplasmatota; Mollicutes; Acholeplasmatales; Acholeplasmataceae
Description: bacterial SSU rRNA
Rfam family: Bacterial small subunit ribosomal RNA
Source: RNAcentral
CGUGAGAUGUUCGGGUUAAGUCCCGCAACGAGCGCAACCCUUAUUGCUAGUUACCAUCAUUAAGUUGGGGACUCUAGCGAGACUGCCAGUGAUAAACUGGGAGGAAGGUGGGGAUGACGUCAAAUCAUCAUGCCCCUUAUGACCUGGGCUACAAACGUGAUACAAUGGCUGAAACAAAGGGCAGCGAAGCAGUGAUGUGGAGCGAAACCCAAAAAGCCAGUCGUAGUCCGGAUCGUAGUCCGCAACUCGACUACGUGAAGUCGGAAUCGCUAGUAAUCGUGGAUCAGAAUGUCACGGUGAAUACGUUCCCGGGUCUU